UAGAGCUCUGAAGUUACCACCCAC
This 24-nucleotide microRNA is filed under the name Brachypodium distachyon (stiff brome). RNAcentral describes it as "bdi-miR7712-5p". The record is from miRBase by way of RNAcentral. Lineage: Eukaryota; Viridiplantae; Streptophyta; Magnoliopsida; Poales; Poaceae.